GAUGAAGAACGCAGCGAAAUGCGAUAAGUAAUGUGAAUUGCAGAAUUCAGUGAAUCAUCGAAUCUUUGAACGCACAUUGCGCCCGCCAGUAUUCUGGCGGGCAUGCCUGUUCGGGCGUCAUUUCAACCAUCAAGCCCCCGGCUUGUGUUGGGGACCUGCGGCUGCCGCAGGCCCUGAAAACCAGUGGCGGGCUCGCUAGUCACUCCGAGCGUAGUAAUACAUCUCGCUCAGGGCGUGCUGCGGGUUCCGGCCGUUAAAAAGCCUUAUUUACCCAAGGUUGACCUCGGAUCAGGUAGGAAGACCCGCUGAACUUAAGCAUAUCAAUAAGCGGAGGA
RNAcentral lists this unclassified non-coding RNA (335 nucleotides) under soil metagenome. RNAcentral describes it as "partial contains 5.8S ribosomal RNA, internal transcribed spacer 2, and large subunit ribosomal RNA". The stretch from base 1 to 120 matches the Rfam family "5.8S ribosomal RNA", at positions 35 to 154 of the family's 154-position model. The record is from RNAcentral.